UGGCUCAGAACGAACGCUGGCGGCAAGCUUAACACAUGCAAGUCGAACGGACCGUAUACGCAGCUUGCUGCGUGUAUGGUUAGUGGCAGACGGGUGAGUAAUGCAUAGGAAUCUACCUAGUAGUAUGGGAUAGCCACUAGAAAUGGUGGGUAAUACUGUAUAAUCCCUGCGGGGGAAAGAUUUAUCGCUAUUAGAUGAGCCUAUGUCAGAUUAGCUAGUUGGUGGGGUAAUGGCCUACCAAGGCGGUGAUCUGUAGCUGGUCUGAGAGGAUGAUCAGCCACACUGGAACUGAGACACGGUCCAGACUCCUACGGGAGGCAGCAGUGGGGAAUAUUGGACAAUGGGCGCAAGCCUGAUCCAGCUAUGCCGCGUGAGUGAGGAAGGCCUUAGGGUUGUAAAACUCUUUCAGUAGGGAAGAUAAUGACGGUACCUACAGAAGAAGUC
This 444-nucleotide ribosomal RNA is filed under the name uncultured Anaplasma sp. RNAcentral's name for it is "bacterial SSU rRNA". It matches the Rfam family "Bacterial small subunit ribosomal RNA", at positions 20 to 492 of the family's 1533-position model. Lineage: Bacteria; Pseudomonadati; Pseudomonadota; Alphaproteobacteria; Rickettsiales; Anaplasmataceae. The record is from RNAcentral.